RNAcentral lists this long non-coding RNA (2312 nucleotides) under Salmo salar (Atlantic salmon). Its description in RNAcentral is "lncRNA (ENSSSAG00000085695.1)". Lineage: Eukaryota; Metazoa; Chordata; Actinopteri; Salmoniformes; Salmonidae. The record is from RNAcentral.
AUGAGAGCUCUAAUGCCUCUUACAGGAUGUCAUAAUGGACACAUGGUCAGUUUAACAAAUUAAAUAUCUCCUGGAAGUCACAAGUGGAGUCAGCAGAGCAGUUUAGAGGGUGACAGAACCAGUCUGAUAGCCUUUCAGCUCCCGAGGCAUUUCAGCACUAGACAGGAGCCUUUUAAAGUGGAACUGACAGUGUUUUAGCAACAUAAAAUCAUAUUUUUUUGAGAAGCAAGCACUUGGAUAUGGUCAUUUUCACAUUUUCAUACUUUCAUAGAAUGUUUGGGAAUUACGUAGAGUAAAGCAUUUUGUGAAAAUUCUAUAGUAAUAUAGAGUUCGAAAGCGGCCAUCGUUAGGACAAUUUCUAGAUACUGCAGUCAAUAAAAUGUAAUAAAAACGUGUCAGUCUUGUCUAGGACCAGUCUCUACACAGAUCGGUGCGCCAUAGCCAAUCAGAGCUAUAGUAGGCCUAUAUGCAAUUAAGCCAUUUUCAACACAGGCCUGCCAUCAUUCAUGUUGAACUGGACUGUGUGUUUACAGGCAGUUGCAACAGCGCGACUUUAGAUCAGUAGAACGCAUUCGCAAAAAGCCACAAAAUACACCUGAAUGGAUUUCUGCAAAUAUGUAAAUACCACAGGAGUCCUCUUACUUUUGGGAACUUUACAGUCCUAUUGAUUAAACAAGCAUGAACAGGUAGGCUCUCUCUCCUUCAGUUGCCUAUGCACAACAACAACAGCAAGAUCAACAACUAAUGUUAGCCAGAGCGAGAUGAGCUAAAAUCUAACGAGGGAACAGUAGAUAAACCCUCUCAAACUUUUUUCAGCUUGUUGUUGGCCGUCAAAACUACUCUGAUAAACAAUGUGUAGUACUGUAAGCUAACGCACUUCUGUACAUUGUGCUGUAACGUACAAUUGACCUUAUUUUAGCGCCCAAAAAACGUAAUCUUUCCAUGUCAACUGUAAUAUGAAUACCAUUGUAUUCAAGCAUGUAUAUGCACAAUUUUUCCCCUUUCCAGCAAAAUCAAUGACGAGACCUUCAUGCUGCCUGUCUGCAUGAUUGAAGAAGGCAAUAAGCUCCGUCGGGUCUUUUUAAAACUGACGGGUGGGGAAGUGAAACCUACUGCGUGAUAGCGAAAGGGGGAGAUAAGGCGUGUGGGGAAAAGGCUUUUUUCACCCGAUCUGUCACUUAUCACUUCUAAAAUGUAAAAACACUAUAAAGAUUUUAUAUAACGUGUCAUUACAUACCUAUAUGAAGGUUUGUGUCGAAUUUGAAUCGGGUUUUUAGGGCGGCGCUAAAGUCAUCAUCAGAAGUAAACAGCGGCUGUCGCGGCCUUUGAGAGUCAUGAUGGCUUGCAGUGAUGACGCAAAAAAUUAAUGCAUUAGGUUGUACAAUUGACUUGGUAUCCCCCCUUACCCUGUCCCUUUCUUAUUUUUAAACUGUGAGAGAAGUUGGUGGAGAGAGGCUGUUCAACACAGAAUGAGUUGCUUUAUACGUGCUAUAUGUCACAAUUUAACGUACAGCGUCGGAGGGCCAGCAUCAGGGGAGGCUUAGCAGAUGCUUUCAGCCUGUUCCUUGCCAUCAUUAUCACCUGCGUCAGGACAAGCAACGAAGACAAAACAACUUUACAAGCUCAAUCCAGGGUGGAGAAGAGGAGGUCUGCCCAGGAUCCAGAGCAAGGGGAGUCUGCCUACGGUCCAAGGCUGAUCGGGGUCGGCACUCUGGAGGACAAUAGGCCGGAGCCUGAACCACCACCUGCAUAGGUGGGUUGGGGAGGGGGGGUGUAGCACAAGUGCCGUCGGUGACGGCAGCCACCCUCCCUUCCCUCCCUUUACUUUAGGGGGAUUUUUGUUGUUGUUUGGGGUUUUUGUUUUUCUUGAGAUGCUUCCGGGGUUAGCACCUUUAGGGGGGGUACUGUCACGUCCUGGCCAGUAUAAGGGUUAAUUGUCAUUGUAGUUUGGUCAGGACGUGGCAGAGGGUAUUUGUUUUAUGUGGUUCGGGGUGGUGUUUUGGUAAAAGGGUGUUUGAUUUAGUAUUUCCGGGUUUUUGGUUUAUGGUCUAUGUUUAUGUAUUUCUAUGAGGAGUCUAGUGAGUGUGUUUCUAUGGUUGAUUAAUUGGGGUUGGGACUCUCAAUUGAAGGCAGGUGUUUUCUCUUUGCCUUUGAUUGAGAGUCCCAUAUAUUAGGGUGUGUUUUUACAUUUGUGGGAGAUUGUUCUUUGUCUAGCAUGUAUGAACCUGAGAAGACAGUCAGUAUAUCGUGAGUACGUUGUUUAUUAUUUUGUGUUCACUUUUGAGUUAAUUAAACUUCAAGAUGAACAUUCA